RNAcentral lists this non-coding RNA (22 nucleotides) under Arabidopsis thaliana (thale cress). Lineage: Eukaryota; Viridiplantae; Streptophyta; Magnoliopsida; Brassicales; Brassicaceae. The record is from RNAcentral.
CUGAUAGCUAGGGUCGAUUCUA